ACUCCUACGGGAGGCAGCAGUGGGGAAUAUUGCACAAUGGGCGCAAGCCUGAUGCAGCCAUGCCGCGUGUAUGAAGAAGGCCUUGGGUUGUAAAGUACUUUCAGCAGUGAGGAAGGUGGGGUAUGUUAAUAGCAUAUUCUAUUUGACGUUAGCUGCAGAAGAAGCACCGGCUAACUCCGUGCCAGCAGCCGCGGUAAUACGGAGGGUGCGAGCGUUAAUCGGAAUUACUGGGCGUAAAGCGCAUGCAGGUGGUUGUUAAGUCAGAUGUGAAAGCCCGGGGCUCAACCUCGGAAUUGCAUUUGAAACUGGCAAACUAGAGUACUGUAGAGGGGGUAG
This 336-nucleotide ribosomal RNA is filed under the name uncultured bacterium. RNAcentral describes it as "bacterial SSU rRNA". It matches the Rfam family "Bacterial small subunit ribosomal RNA", at positions 335 to 663 of the family's 1533-position model. The record is from RNAcentral.